This 5827-nucleotide long non-coding RNA is filed under the name Homo sapiens (human). RNAcentral describes it as "non-protein coding lnc-TMEM184C-2:1". The record is from RNAcentral. Lineage: Eukaryota; Metazoa; Chordata; Mammalia; Primates; Hominidae.
CAGUGCCUCAGUGUGAGAGGAAGAUAACUAACCUUGCUUACAGACUGUAUUAGGCCAUUUCUACAUUGCUAUUAAAAAAAAAAAAAAAAGGCUGGGUAAUUUAUAAAGAAAAGAGAUUUGAUUGGCUCACAGCUCUGUAGGCUGUACAUGCAUGGCUCCAGCAUCUGCUUCUGGUGAGGGCCUCAGGAAGCUUCCAAAUAUGGCAGAGGGAGAAGGGGUGCAGGCACGUAACAUGGCAAGAGCAGGAGCAAGAGAGAAGGGGGCAAGGCACCACACUUGCAAACCACCAGAUGUCUCGAGAAUCACUCACUAAUGCAAGGACAGCACCAAGCCAUUCAUGGGAGAUCUGCCCCCAUGAGCCAGACACCUCCCACCAGUUCCUACCUCCAACAUUGGGGAUUACAUUUCAACAUGAGAUUUGGAGGGGACAAACAUCCAAACUAUAUCAGAGACUACUUAGACCCAAAACAAACUAAAGCCGAAGGAAUUACAUAUUCCAUAUUUGGUCUAGUUGUUGGGAGGGAAAAAUUGCUGCAAGAAUUCAGAUAUACUAAAAUUCAAAUGAAAUGGCCUGAUCUAUGCCAGAUUUUAUGAAAUGUGUUUAUUCUAAACCCAAGAAGAGUAUUUUCCUCAGCCUUGUUUUUUCCUUCUAUGUAUUAUGCAUAGAAAGCAACUAUUCUAAGAGGUAAUAUUCUGAAAUAUUACUUUAAAUGGCAAGUUUUGUCAAUUGAAGAUACAACACAUUUUAAGUAAAACAGUAAUCUCUCAGUUUCCAAUAAGUACACUUAAGCUGUGGUUAAAUUAUAUUACCCUAGCAGAAAAAUCAGUGGUCUGAUAAUAUAGAUGAAAACAAUGGUUACAAUUUUGACAUUGCAAAUAAAAACUUCCCAAAAUUACACCAGUACACUGUUUCCAAAAUUGAAGAGAUUAGAGAACAAACAAUCAAAAAAUUACCAUCUCUUUCCACAGGAUAGCAUAAAUACAUGUGUUUUCUAUUAGAGCUUAAAAUAGGAAUUUAGAACUAAACUAUGAUGCAAAAUUGAAAAUGUGUAAUUGAUUUAAAAUGUUUAGCAUAUGCUACAUAACUUUAAUCUUUUCUUUUAAAAAGUUUUCUCUUUAUGAUAUACUAUGUGCACACAACCACUUGACUUUCUCCUGACAUUUCUCCUUAAUGAUAAAUUGGAAAAUUCAAAUUUUGACUCUUCAGCCAUCAGAGUGUGGAGUAUCAAACAUUGAUUAUUCAAACUUAUGAACUAGUGAACCAACCCAUCAUGGCUCAAGAAAAUAAUUAUCCAUCUCUGCAUUUAUAACUCCCUGCUGCUGUUCACCCUGAAGCACACUAUGUAGACUUGCCAUGUGCAAAGCAGCUUCUUAGCCAAUCAAUAUCCACAACUGCUGGGAAGGAUACCUGCUUAUCUCUUUGCGGUGCUACUGCCAAUCACCAGACUAAACAUCAUUUCUAUUCCAUGGCAACGUUUUAAGUCAGACCAUCUGGAAUGUCUCCAGAUUUGGUAAAAAUGCAAAUAAAACUUUGCUUUACAUUCACCUAGCAAUGAAUAAAAAUUAACAUAUUCUUAUUUGACCAUAUUGUUCUCCCCUCCUGGGAAUCCAAUACUUUGUAUACCUUACUGUAGUUCUAAAUAAUGUGGACAGUUUGACUGGUACUUUUACAUCAUAGGUAGGAGUACAUUUGUGUAAUUCCUGUUUUUCCAAAACUCGUAAUGAGUCAUUUAACUAUCAUUAAUUUUAGAAAGUAAACCUUUAGGCUAAAAAAACAAAUACUCUUUAGUUAUUUCAAUCUUUUUCCAGAGGAAAAGAGAAAAAAGCACUGGAGUGUGCUAAAAAGGCUCACAGUAUUUAGGAGCAAUCGCCACAUCUUUCUGUCAUCCUCUUCUCUAGGUCAUGAGAUCAUACAUGUUGCUAUUCUUCUGACUUCUAAGCAGGAUACUCAAGAGAUCCUUCCAAGCAAUGUGAGUCACAGGCCCCCAUCCCUUUCCCCCAUAGCUGCCUCCCAUAGUAAAAUUCUGUGGGAGUCUGUCACAUAUUAAACCUAUAGAUUCCUCUAACCAUAUCAAGUUCACUACCUCUGUAUUGCAGGGCAAGGUAGCAGCUGUCCAUCUCACUUUACCAUUACAUUUAUGUAGCUAUGAAAAUAAUGCAUACAAUUGGAGAAUAUUCAGUUAAAGGGAUGUGUGAGCCUUCUUUAUUUCCCUAUUAGAAGGAUUAGGUUGAAAGAAGAAUAAAUAGUUGAAAGUAUCUAAUAUGCUCUUCAAAGAAAGAUGAGUUUUGAAUCACACCUAUUUUUGUGUUUAACAAUUAUAUUAAUUGCUUUUCUUUUUUAAUUUGUAUAAAUUUAUGGGGUGCAAGUGUAGUUUUGUUACAUGUAUAUAUUGCAUAGUGGUGAAGUCAAGGCUUUUAGGGUAUCCAUCACAAAAAUAAUAUACAUUGUACCCACUAUGAAAUUUCUCAUCAUCCACUCUUAGUUGCUUUUAUGCUCAGUUCUAAGGUGUCUCCAGACAGACAACAUUGCUUUGAGUCAUAUCAGAGUCAGCAUAAGUGGAAGUAGACUAUUUAAAGAUUGUAUUAAUAUCUGAGGCAAGCUAGAAUUACUGAUAAGACUGUAAUAAUGUUACAAGAAGAAGAAGAAGGCACUAUAAAGUAUUCUUCCUAUUAACGUUUUAUUCCCUUUCUCUCACUUUGAAAAAGAUUGUACUGAAACGGUUUCAUAGAGCAAUGUAAUAUAAAACACAACUGAAAAGUAACAUAACAGGUAUCAAACAGCUGGGCUGUUUCGGAUGUCAUUAACCUGUGUAGCUGAUGCUUGGUGGCUCUGGAUGGCCUGUGGCAUGGAAGGUGGGAUGGGGUCAUUCCACCCCUAAAUUUUCAGAAAUUUCUUAAUUUCUUAAUUGAUCUCCCUAUCUUCAGAGCUUCUUCCCCAUAACAUAUCCGGGACUUUGCUUCCAUCUGUCAAGUGCCACUGCUUCUAAAAAAGCACCCAGGAGCUCCCACCUGUCCCCCUUUUCCCCCAUGUUUAGCAAUCAAGGCCCUCCACACUUUGGCCAUACUUCACCUCCUUCCUACUAAUUCCCAAAAUGCAUGGCUCAGCUCUGUCAAAAUGCUAUCACUACCCCCAAGGAACAUACUUUGCCCUAAAUAACAUUCUCAGAGAGACUGAAUGUAGUCACCGAAUUGCUGCUGCUGAAGCAUUUACAGAUCCUAGUUUGAAAAAUGAGUUAGGCCUAGAAUUAUAUAUGUUGCAUCUAACAGAAAUAACCCAAAAGAUGAAAAGAAGUUCCUAUAGCCCUUGCUUACAUACACUCACACACACACACACACACACACACACACACACACACACAACCUGAUGAUAAAAGAAACUCAGCAAUCUAAGAAAGUAAAAUGCAAGGCAGAAGGAACCAAGGCAAGCCAAUGAAUGCCAGUUGCCUUCUUGGUUUUGAAACACAAUGGCCUUGCAAAUGCUAAUGUUGAAGAAAAAACUAUUUCUAAGAUUAUCAAAGGAUAACUGAUUUUUAGUUGUUCAAAAUAAGGAUAAUAUUACUAAUUGCAGUAGAAGAUUGACAAAAGCAGGAAGGAGGAAGGGAAAGGAGUUAGCAGAUUUUUUCAUAUACCCAAGCUUAUAACCCAUACUGCUGGUGGAUUCAUUCUUGUCAAUAAAUUACAUUAUCUGAUAUCCUAAAUUUUCAAGAAAAACAAAAACUUAGCCAAGUAAAUUAAUCUGUACAUAGGAUAUUUACAUUUGUUAGAAUGGCAAAAUAGUUAAAACAUUGUCUCCAUGUUGGGAGACUGAAAAUAACCCCUGAUUACUAGAUGACAAAAUAGAUAAGUAUAGAAUUUAAUAAUUAUAUUAUUUAAUGAUUCAUGAGAUUACAUGUAUGCCAUAGAGUGUUGUCCAUAGGGAGAUGGGUUAUAAUUUUGAACAGAGUGGAAGCCCUAAAAGUGAUAUUUGUGCAUGAGCCAAGGCUUGGCACCAUGUAGCUUCAGGAUAACAGCUCCGCCAUUAUGCACACACAGACAUUUCCAUAUAUCACUGUACCUCGUCUCUUAAGCAGAAACAAGAAUGCAGGGAGAUGUAUGUAUGAGAGAGAUGGAGUAAGGGAAAGAAGUAAGAGGUACAGUCCAAUGGCUUGCCAUAGACGCUUUUGACGUGCAUAGCAGGGAGUUGAUGCCGUGGAUAAUAUGCCACGUAAAUCACGUCUCCACUUAGCAUGUGGCACAAAGCAGAUCUGUGAGAACAACAGUGAUAGAAGCCGGUAACUCUGUUGAUUACUAAUUUUGUCUACCCUAAGCAACCACCCCUUAUUGAGGACAACAAUGAAAAAUAAACACAUCUUAUUUCUGCAUGAAGUUACCACGAAUAUUUUGCAAUGAAAAGUCAAGACUCUCAAUAUGUUGCUCUGGCAGAGGAUCUGAACAAUGUGGAAAUGAGAGACAUCCACAUAGAGCCAGUUAUCUCCAUGUUCACACAGCCUUUGACAUCUUGUGCAACUGGGAUCCAUCCUUCUGGGGCAGCUUUACAAAAGCUGCUUCUUGACAUAUCAAAUCACCACAGCAAAUUGUGUCUUAAAAAUAAAUUGUCACAACUUACAGAUUAGAUACCUCAAGCAUAGUAGAUGUUCAGUAAUGCUUGUUGUUAUGAUUUGAUUUGAUAAGGGCCUUCACUCUUAAAUUAACUUCAAAUCAGAUUAAUCUGAGAUAUUCAAAUUAAAAUGAUGAUGAAGGUGGGGGUGGUGGUGGUGAUGAUGAUGAUGAUUUGUCAAAGGGAUUCUUCAUUUAUAGACAAGGCAGAAGACAUUAUCAGUGGUAUGCAUAUACUAUUCCCCAACUUAGUCAAGUUACCCACCAAAUUCCGUAUGUGAUAAGCAUAUUUCCCUUUUACCGCAUCAUCAAGCAAAUAAAAACACACUUUUCUCAUGUACUCCAAGAAUCAUGCUAUCAUCAUAAAAUUAGCUAUAGAAACUGCAUUCUCUAAAUUUUAAGAGAGAAAAUGUGUCCCUUGACCAAGAUCUCUAUUCCUCACUGGUGCAUUGUAUUCCAGCUAGAUGUUUUCCCAUAGGGUAGCUCUGAUGCUGCCUCCUCUGUGAGCACCUCUCUUUCCAUGCUUUUCCGCUACCUCUCUAUACUCCAGCUAACCUGGUCUAUCUAUCUGAGUCCUUCUACCUGGAAUAUGGUCCUUCUACCUGGAAUAUUUUUUCCUCAGGCCUUCUCUGGCUUCUUCCACUUUAUUCCUUGGAUCUCAGCUUAAUCAUCUCUUUGGCAAGUAUCCAUGAUCCAAACUGGGUUAGUGCCGCUCCCAAGACCCCCUUUAUUAACCCUGUACUGGCACUUAAAACAUACUCUAUUGUAUUUGCCAGCUCCUUGGCCUGUCUGCAAGUUCCUUCAGGCAUGCUGCCAUCAUUCUCAUUUAUCACUGUAUCUCCUGUGCCCAGCUUUAAAAAUAUUAGGUAAAUGAGUGAAAAAAGAAAAUGUACUAUAGUUGCCUCUGUUAGAAUGUUUUUCUCCCAUGCAAUUCCAGAUCUACAAGCAGACCUGCUUAUUGAGUUUAUUGAAUUUCUACCUUUUUUUCUGAAAAUCAGAAUAUCUCAGGGUCCAUAAAUCUGUGAGAAACUCGUGGGAAGCAGAGCAGCACAUAACAGCAAGAUGAUUUUCCCCUUCCUUUUGUCUUUAGGGGUCAAGAAUUCUUGUCUCAUGGUUCAGGCAUUGUGUUAACUAUUUCUGUGCAUUCUUUAAGCAUAGUUGUAACUGUAGUUUUGAUUGAAAUAUUAACCUAUAAGUGAUUUGGAAUAUCAAAAUAAACAUUCAUAUCACA